Betta splendens (Siamese fighting fish) is the source of this 301-nucleotide long non-coding RNA. RefSeq lists it as uncharacterized. The transcript is spliced from 3 exons. The record is from RefSeq and is a predicted model, not a curated record. NCBI's taxonomy places the organism in Eukaryota, Metazoa, Chordata, Actinopteri, Anabantiformes, Osphronemidae.
AUUAAAUACUGUACUUGAACCAUUAUCAUUGUAGAUCCCACAGACUGGUCUCCUCUCCGCUCCAUCAUGGUGACGCUGCGUGUUUCUGGGCUGAUCCUAAUGAUUGGAGUCACUGUUCUCAUCAUCACAGACAAAGCGAUCAAACAGUCCCUCAGAGACAAACGUAUCCGUUACCACGGUGACGUGACAGCGGACUGUGAAGAUGAAUGAAGACCUGAUUGUUCAUCUGACGUGACACAGAAUGAAGACGCUCACGCAUCAAAGUUCCAACAAGUCAUUUAAUAAACUGAGUGGAUCGGUU